RNAcentral lists this ribosomal RNA (1556 nucleotides) under Escherichia coli. RNAcentral describes it as "bacterial SSU rRNA". It matches the Rfam family "Bacterial small subunit ribosomal RNA". The record is from RNAcentral. Lineage: Bacteria; Pseudomonadati; Pseudomonadota; Gammaproteobacteria; Enterobacterales; Enterobacteriaceae.
UUAAAUUGAAGAGUUUGAUCAUGGCUCAGAUUGAACGCUGGCGGCAGGCCUAACACAUGCAAGUCGAACGGUAACAGGAAUCAGCUUGCUGAUUCGCUGACGAGUGGCGGACGGGUGAGUAAUGUCUGGGAAACUGCCUGAUGGAGGGGGAUAACUACUGGAAACGGUAGCUAAUACCGCAUAACGUCGCAAGACCAAAGAGGGGGACCUUCGGGCCUCUUGCCAUCGGAUGUGCCCAGAUGGGAUUAGCUAGUAGGUGGGGUAACGGCUCACCUAGGCGACGAUCCCUAGCUGGUCUGAGAGGAUGACCAGCCACACUGGAACUGAGAUACGGUCCAGACUCCUACGGGAGGCAGCAGUGGGGAAUAUUGCACAAUGGGCGCAAGCCUGAUGCAGCCAUGCCGCGUGUAUGAAGAAGGCCUUCGGGUUGUAAAGUACUUUCAGCGGGGAGGAAGGGAGUAAAGUUAAUACCUUUGCUCAUUGACGUUACCCGCAGAAGAAGCACCGGCUAACUCCGUGCCAGCAGCCGCGGUAAUACGGAGGGUGCAAGCGUUAAUCGGAAUUACUGGGCGUAAAGCGCACGCAGGCGGUUUGUUAAGUCAGAUGUGAAAUCCCCGGGCUCAACCUGGGAACUGCAUCUGAUACUGGCAAGCUUGAGUCUCGUAGAGGGGGGUAGAAUUCCAGGUGUAGCGGUGAAAUGCGUAGAGAUCUGGAGGAAUACCGGUGGCGAAGGCGGCCCCCUGGACGAAGACUGACGCUCAGGUGCGAAAGCGUGGGGAGCAAACAGGAUUAGAUACCCUGGUAGUCCACGCCGUAAACGAUGUCGACUUGGAGGUUGUGCCCUUGAGGCGUGGCUUCCGGAGCUAACGCGUUAAGUCGACCGCCUGGGGAGUACGGCCGCAAGGUUAAAACUCAAAUGAAUUGACGGGGGCCCGCACAAGCGGUGGAGCAUGUGGUUUAAUUCGAUGCAACGCGAAGAACCUUACCUGGUCUUGACAUCCACAGAACUUUCCAGAGAUGGAUUGGUGCCUUCGGGAACUGUGAGACAGGUGCUGCAUGGCUGUCGUCAGCUCGUGUUGUGAAAUGUUGGGUUAAGUCCCGCAACGAGCGCAACCCUUAUCCUUUGUUGCCAGCGGUCCGGCCGGGAACUCAAAGGAGACUGCCAGUGAUAAACUGGAGGAAGGUGGGGAUGACGUCAAGUCAUCAUGGCCCUUACGACCAGGGCUACACACGUGCUACAAUGGCGCAUACAAAGAGAAGCGACCUCGCGAGAGCAAGCGGACCUCAUAAAGUGCGUCGUAGUCCGGAUUGGAGUCUGCAACUCGACUCCAUGAAGUCGGAAUCGCUAGUAAUCGUGGAUCAGAAUGCCACGGUGAAUACGUUCCCGGGCCUUGUACACACCGCCCGUCACACCAUGGGAGUGGGUUGCAAAAGAAGUAGGUAGCUUAACCUUCGGGAGGGCGCUUACCACUUUGUGAUUCAUGACUGGGGUGAAGUCGUAACAAGGUAACCGUAGGGGAACCUGCGGUUGGAUCACCUCCUUACCUUAAAGAAGC